CAGUAGCCGCGGGAAUACGGAGGGUGCAAGCGUUAAUCGGAAUUACUGGGCGUAAAGGGUGCGUAGGCGGUUGUUUAAGUCUGUUGUGAAAUCCCCGGGCUCAACCUGGGAACUGCAUUUGAGACUGUAUGGCUAGAGUGUGUCAGAGGGGGGUAGAAUUCCACGUGUAGCAGUGAAAUGCGUAGAUAUGUGGAGGAAUACCGAUGGCGAAGGCAGCCCCCUGGGAUAACACUGACGCUCAUGCACGAAAGCGUGGGGAGCAAACAGGAUUAGAUACCCGAGUAGUCCCUGUCUCUUAUAC
This 301-nucleotide ribosomal RNA is filed under the name uncultured bacterium. Its description in RNAcentral is "partial 16S ribosomal RNA". It matches the Rfam family "Bacterial small subunit ribosomal RNA", at positions 509 to 807 of the family's 1533-position model. The record is from RNAcentral.